AGAGUUUGAUCAUGGCUCAGGAUGAACGCUAGCGGCAGGCUUAAUACAUGCAAGUCGAGGGGUAACAUGGGUAGCAAUACCUGAUGACGACCGGCAAACGGGUGCGGAACACGUACGCAACCUUCCCAUAACUGGUGAAUAGCCUUCCGAAAGGGAGAUUAAUACACCGUAACAUAACGAGCAGGCAUCUGCUUGUUAUUAUAGGCUUCGGCCGGUUUUGGAUGGGCGUGCGCCUGAUUAGGUAGUUGGCGGGGUAACGGCCCACCAAGCCUGCGAUCAGUAACUGGUGUGAGAGCACGACCAGUCACACGGGCACUGAGACACGGGCCCGACUCCUACGGGAGGCAGCAGUAAGGAAUAUUGGUCAAUGGACGAAAGUCUGAACCAGCCAUGCCGCGUGAAGGAUGAAGGCCCUCUGGGUUGUAAACUUCUUUUAUCUGGGACGAAAAAAGCUCAUUCUUGAGCACUUGACGGUACCAGAGGAAUAAGCACCGGCUAACUCCGUGCCAGCAGCCGCGGUAAUACGGAGGGUGCAAGCGUUAUCCGGAUUCACUGGGUUUAAAGGGUGCGUAGGUGGGUCUGUAAGUCAGUGGUGAAAUCUCCGAGCUUAACUCGGAAACUGCCAUUGAUACUAUAGAUCUUGAAUCAUCUGGAGGUAAGCGGAAUAUGUCAUGUAGCGGUGAAAUGCUUAGAUAUGACAUAGAACACCAAUUGCGAAGGCAGCUUACUACGGGUGUAUUGACACUGAGGCACGAAAGCGUGGGGAUCAAACAGGAUUAGAUACCCUAGUAGUCC
Molecule: ribosomal RNA, 795 nt
Filed under: uncultured bacterium
Lineage: Bacteria
Description: bacterial SSU rRNA
Rfam family: Bacterial small subunit ribosomal RNA
Source: RNAcentral